This 301-nucleotide ribosomal RNA is filed under the name uncultured bacterium. Its description in RNAcentral is "partial 16S ribosomal RNA". It matches the Rfam family "Bacterial small subunit ribosomal RNA", at positions 510 to 808 of the family's 1533-position model. The record is from RNAcentral.
CGCCGCCGCGGGAAUACGUAGGGUGCGAGCGUUAAUCGGAAUUACUGGGCGUAAAGCGUGCGCAGGCGGUUUUGUAAGACAGGCGUGAAAUCCCCGGGCUCAACCUGGGAAUGGCGCUUGUGACUGCAAAGCUAGAGUGCGGCAGAGGGGGAUGGAAUUCCGCGUGUAGCAGUGAAAUGCGUAGAUAUGCGGAGGAACACCGAUGGCGAAGGCAAUCCCCUGGGCCUGCACUGACGCUCAUGCACGAAAGCGUGGGGAGCAAACAGGAUUAGAUACCCCGGUAGUCCCUGUCUCUUAUACC